Molecule: ribosomal RNA, 253 nt
Filed under: uncultured bacterium
Lineage: Bacteria
Description: partial 16S ribosomal RNA
Rfam family: Bacterial small subunit ribosomal RNA
Source: RNAcentral
UACGUAGGGGGCUAGCGUUGUCCGGAUUUAUUGGGCGUAAAGAGCGUGUAGGCGGCCAGGUAGGUCUGCUGUGAAAACUCGAGGCUCAACCUCGAGACGUCGGCGGAAACCAUCUGGCUAGAGUCCGGAAGAGGAGAGUGGAAUUCCUGGUGUAGCGGUGAAAUGCGCAGAUAUCAGGAAGAACACCCGUGGCGAAGGCGGCUCUCUGGGACGGUACUGACGCUGAGACGCGAAAUCGUGGGGAGCGAACAGG